GAUGAACGCUGGCGGCGUGCUUAACACAUGCAAGUCGAACGAUGAAGCUCAGCUUGCUGGGUGGAUUAGUGGCGAACGGGUGAGUAACACGUGAGUAACCUGCCCUUAACUCUGGGAUAAGCCUGGGAAACUAGGUCUAAUACCGGAUAGGAGCGCCUACCGCAUGGUGGGUGUUGGAAAGAUUUAUCGGUUUUGGAUGGACUCGCGGCCUAUCAGCUUGUUGGUGAGGUAAUGGCUCACCAAGGCGACGACGGGUAGCCGGCCUGAGAGGGUGACCGGCCCCACUGGGGCUGAGACACGGCACAGACUCCUACGGGAGGCAGCAGUGGGGAAUAUUGCACAAUGGGCGAAAGCCUGAUGCAGCGACGCCGCGUGAGGGAUGACGGCCUUCGGGUUGUAAACCUCUUUCAGUAGGGAAGAAGCGAAAGUGACGGUACCUGCAGAAGAAGCACCGGCUAACUACGUG
Molecule: ribosomal RNA, 466 nt
Filed under: uncultured bacterium
Lineage: Bacteria
Description: partial 16S ribosomal RNA
Rfam family: Bacterial small subunit ribosomal RNA
Source: RNAcentral